RNAcentral lists this small RNA (28 nucleotides) under Bombyx mori (domestic silkworm). Its description in RNAcentral is "ovarian small RNA-36327". Lineage: Eukaryota; Metazoa; Arthropoda; Insecta; Lepidoptera; Bombycidae. The record is from RNAcentral.
UUAACACUACAACCAGAUGGCGCGGCUC